This 254-nucleotide ribosomal RNA is filed under the name uncultured bacterium. Its description in RNAcentral is "partial 16S ribosomal RNA". It matches the Rfam family "Bacterial small subunit ribosomal RNA", at positions 524 to 776 of the family's 1533-position model. The record is from RNAcentral.
UACGGGGGGAGCAAGCGUUGUUCGGAUUUACUGGGCGUAAAGGGCGCGUAGGCGGUCAGCACAAGUCAGUUGUGAAAUCUCCGAGCUUAACUCGGAAAGGUCAACUGAUACUGUGCGACUAGAGUGCAGAAGGGGCAACUGGAAUUCCUGGUGUAGCGGUGAAAUGCGCAGAUAUCAGGAGGAACACCGGUGGCGAAGGCGACUACCUGGCCUAAGACUGACGCUGAGGUGCGAAAGCGUGGGGAGCGAACGGG